This 253-nucleotide ribosomal RNA is filed under the name uncultured bacterium. Its description in RNAcentral is "partial 16S ribosomal RNA". It matches the Rfam family "Bacterial small subunit ribosomal RNA", at positions 524 to 776 of the family's 1533-position model. The record is from RNAcentral.
UACGUAGGGGGCAGGCGUUGUCCGGAUUUAUUGGGCGUAAAGAGCGUGUAGGCGGCCUGAAAGGUCAGCUGUGAAAACUCGAGGCUCAACCUCGAGACGUCGGUUGAAACCAUCUGGCUAGAGUCCGGAAGAGGAGUGUGGAAUUCCCGGUGUAGCGGUGAAAUGCGCAGAUAUCGGGAAGAACACCCGUGGCGAAGGCGGCGACCUGGUCCGAUACUGACGCUGAGGCGCGAAAGCGUGGGGAGCAAACAGG